Malaclemys terrapin pileata is the source of this 3626-nucleotide RNA transcript. It is a transcript of the gene named BCL2 associated transcription factor 1, with no coding region annotated. The transcript is spliced from 14 exons. The record is from RefSeq and is a predicted model, not a curated record. Lineage: Eukaryota; Metazoa; Chordata; Testudines; Emydidae.
UUCCCCUCCCCGUCUCUUCCUCACGGCGACGGGAAAUGGCGGCCGAGCUGCGAUAAGGGAGCGGGGCAGCUGGGAGCGCCGCCCGCCAGGAAUUAAUAUUUCUGAGAGCACAUUUUGAGAAUUUUAAAAUCACUUCAUUGAUUAACAUCUAGAGGCCUAAGAAGUAAUCCACUGAAGAAAAUGGGUAGAUCUAAUUCUAGAUCUCAUUCUUCAAGAUCAAAGUCCAGAUCUCAGUCCACUUCGAGGUCGAGGUCCAGAUCACAUUCUAGAAAAAAGAGAUACAGUUCUAGGUCUCGGUCCAGGACAUAUUCACGAUCUCGCAGUAGGGAUCGUGUUUAUUCUAGAGAUUAUCGCAGAGAUUACAGAAAUAAUAGAGGAAUGAGACGCCCCUAUGGUUACAGAGGAAGAGGUAGAGGGUAUUAUCAAGGAGGAGGUGGUAGAUAUCAUCGUGGAGGCUACAGACCUGUCUGGAAUCGAAGACACUCCCGAAGCCCUAGGCGGGGUCGUUCACGUUCCAGAAGUCCAAAGCGAAGGUCUGUGUCUUCCCAGAGGUCCAGGAGCAGAUCUCGUCGAUCUUACAGAUCUUCCAGGUCUCCAAGGUCCUCUUCAUCUCGUUCCUCAUCCCCAUACAGCAAAUCGCCUGUCUCUUCCAAAAGACGUGGAUCUCUGGAAAAGCAGGCUAAGAAAACUGAGGGAGCUCCUCUGCAAGAUAGCCCUUUAAAAAGUAAAUCACAGGAUGAACAGAAAGAUACAUUUGAACAUGACCCAUCUGAGUCCCUUGAUGACUUUAACAAAUCAUCAGCAGCUUCUGGUGACAUUUGGCCUGGCCUUUCAGCAUAUGAUAACAGUCCAAGGUCACCCCAUAGUCCUUCUAUUGCCUCCCCACCCAGUCAGAGUUCAUCUUGCUCUGAUGCCCCUUUGCUCAGCACAGUUCACUCAGCUAAAAACACACCUCAACAUUCACAUUCCAUUCAACAUAGCCCUGAGAGGUCUGGCUCUGGUUCCCUUGGAAAUGGUUCCAGUCGCUACAGUCCUUCUCAGAAUAGCCCAUUGCAUCAUAUCCCUUCAAGGAGAAGCCCUGGAAAGACAAUCCCUUCACAGAGUGCUCCACGUGAGGAGGCUCGAAUGCGCUCAUUUUAUCCUGAAGCUGGGGAACAGGAAACUGCAAAGGGUGGAAAGUUUCUAAAAAGGUACACAGAUGAAGAGUCUAGAGUAUACCUGCUUGAUAGGGGUAAUACCAGGGAAAAAGAGGCCCAGAAGGAGAGAGGAUCAGAAAAAGGGAGGACAGAGGGAGAAAGGGAAUGGGAGGAUCAGGAAGCUUUAGAUUAUUUCAUUGGUAAAGAUGCUGGGAAACAAAAGUUUAGUGACUCUGAAGGGGAGGAGACAGAGGAGACAGAGGAUUAUGGACAGUUCAGAAAAUCUGUCCUCGCAGAUCAGGGUAAAAAUUUUGCUACUGCAUCUCACCGGAAUGCUGAGGAGGAAGGAACCAAAUACAAAUCUAAAAUUUCAAUGAAGGGCAAUAGAGAGAGUGAUGGAUUUAGAGAAGACAAGAGUUAUAAACUUAAAGAGACUGGCUAUGUAGUGGAAAGGCCUAGUGCAACAAAAGAUAAGCACAAGGAAGACGACAAAAGUUCUGAGAGAAUAAUGGUGAAGAAAGAAACUCAGUCACCUGAGCAGGUAAAGUCUGAAAAGCUCAAAGAACUCUUUGAUUACAGUCCCCCUCUACACAAGAAUCUGGAUGCGAGAGAAAAAUCCACCUUCCGAGAGGAGAGCCCACUUAGGAUCAAAAUGAUAGCCAGUGACUCCCAUCGUCCUGAAGUUAAGCUCAAAAUGGCACCAGUCCCUCUUGAUGAUUCCAAUAGACCUGCUUCCUUGACUAAAGACAGGCUGCUUGCUAGUACGCUUGUCCAUUCUGUCAAGAAGGAGCAAGAGUUCCGAUCCAUCUUUGACCACAUUAAGUUGCCACAGGCCAGCAAAAGCACGUCCGAGUCAUUUAUUCAGCACAUUGUGUCUUUGGUUCAUCAUGUCAAAGAACAAUACUUCAAGUCAGCUGGAAUGACCCUAAAUGAGAGGUUCACUGCGUAUCAAAAAGCUACUGAAGAACAUUGCACCCGGCAAAAGAGCCCAGAAAUACACAGGAGGAUUGACAUCUCUCCAACUGCCCUGAGGAAGCAUACCCGUUUAGCAGGUGAAGAGAGAGUCUUUAAAGAAGAAAGUCAAAAAGGAGAUAAAAAAUUAAGAUGCGAUUCUGCUGAUCUUCGGCACGACAUUGACCGUCGUCGAAAAGAGCGAAGUAAAGAACGAGGGGACUCUAAAGGUUCCAGGGAAAGCAGUGGAUCAAGAAAGCAGGAGAAAACACCAAAAGAUUACAAGGAUUACAAAUCUUACAAAGAUGACAGUAAACAAAAAAGAGAGCAAGACCGUUCUCGAUCUUCCUCAUCUUCAUCCCCGUCUUCCGCCUCAUCCAGUUCACGAGAAGAAAAAGAUGGCAAGAAAGAAAGAGAUGAAGAGUUCAAAACCCACCAUGAGCAGAAAGAAUAUUCAGGUUUUACAGGAGUCAGCAGGCCGAGAGGCACCUUUUUUCGAAUUAGGGGCAGAGGAAGAGCCAGAGGCGUUUUUGCUGGAACAAAUACUGGUCCCAGCAACUCAAAUGCUACUUUUCAAAAGAGACCGAAGGAAGAGGAAUGGGAUCCUGAAUAUACCCCAAAAAGCAAGAAAUACUUCUUGCAUGAUGACAGAGAUGAUGGUGUGGAUUAUUGGGCCAAAAGAGGAAGAGGCCGUGGCACUUUCCAGCGUGGCAGAGGGCGGUUUAACUUCAAAAAAUCAGGUAGCAGUCCAAAGUGGACACAUGACAAAUACCAAGGGGAUGGGCUUGUGGAAGAUGAAGAAGAAACAAUGGAAAAUAAUGAAGAAAAGGACAGACGCAAAGAAGAAAAGGAGUAAUAUGAAGAAAAAUUCCAGCUGAAAAAGCAGCCCUUGCACCACCCACACAGCAUUUUUAAUAUUUUUUUGUCGUCAAAUGAAUACCACCCCCACGAUGGGAGCUCUCUUCUGAACAGAUCUAAAUCUGACAAGUAUAGCUGUAGCAUAACAGGUGCUACGUUUCUCCGUCCAUAUACCGCUACUGGGGAAAUGCCUCAACUGUUUGUGCAACAGCCCAAAAAGUAGCUUGACUUCUAUACACUGUAACCGGAAGAUUUGUCCUACAUUCCAAAUGCAUGUUCCAUUUUUGCAUAUGACAGAACAAGGUAAACCACUAGUUGAAAAAGAGUUACUUUUAAGAAAAUCUGUUUAGUAUAUUUCAGACUUUGCAUGCAUAAUGUAUGAAGUCUUGUGAAUGGAGCACUAGUUGCUAUCUUAAAACGUUUCAAGCACAGUGAAUAACACAAAAUGACACUCUCAAGACUACGUUUUAAUUGUUUUAAUUGGUGACUCAUGGGUUACCAAUAGAAAGUUUUAGUCAAAAAGUUUGUGGCACUAUUAAUCCAGCUGCCCUUUGUGUCAGUCUUUGUUCCAGUUCAUAAAACUGCCUUUUCAAUUUCUUUACGUGGGCUUUCCUCUUCAGGUAAAUAUUCUGGCAAGUGUGAAUUCUCUAUUACGUUUACAGUCUUAUAUGAAAUAAAAAU